GCAUCAGUUCUCCUUCAGCCUUCGAUUCGGUAACGUGCCUGUUUCGCGCCUUCAUUCUCAUCGAUUCGUUCUGUUGUGUACUCCAGUGUUGAGUGAUUAUUUUUUACAGCAUUUCCCUGUUUCCCAGUGCCAAGGAAAGUGAGAGUUUCGGUGUGCGUUGAUUUGCUUUACUGACGACGACACGGUGGGGGACCUCCCGGUGCGUGCGUGCUAGUUCGUUCGUUCUUUUUCGUUCUACUUUCCAGGGCCAGUUUAGAAUACAUAAAGAGUGAGUUUUGCGGGUGGCUGCCUAGUGUUCUGCUCCAGGGUUCAGCAAUUAUGAGGCUUCUGCAAUGGGAUUCGCUAAUAAUUUGCCUGAUUGUGGCCGCUGUGAAUAUGUGUGCAGCGCAGCAGCAGGCACCUCCGACCAUCACAUCCAUCAGUCCGGAACAGAUUAAGGAUAUUGGAGAUACCGUGGCGCUGGAUUGCGAUAUUGACAACGUGGGCAAGUUUACGGUUGGUUGGCAGAAGAGCAAUCGGGAGCGGUCGCAGAAUGUCAAUACCAUCUCCUUGGGUCCAACGUUGGCCGUGGCCGAAGAGAGGUUCGAGCUCAGUGAUGAUAAAGAGAACAAUACCAUGAAGUACAGAUUGACGAUCAACGACAUCGUCAAUACGGAUGCCGGUCUGUACGAGUGCCAGAUUCAGGUGAACAGCACCAACAAGGUGACGGCUACGGUGGAACUUCAGGUCCGUCAUCCACCAAUUUUAAAGGACAAUCUAAGGGCUACCACUGUUACCAAGGCAGAAGGCGAAGAUGUCAAACUGACCUGCUCGGCUGAGGGAUAUCCACGACCGUCGAUCUCCUGGAAGAGGGAAUACGGUGCCAUUCUACCGAUCGGUGGACAGAGCUUUGCUGGUAACGAGCUGUCGUUGUCUUCGUUGGUCAAGGAUGAUCGUGGUACAUACUUUUGCAUUGCGGAUAAUGGCGUUGGAAAACCAGACUCCAGGACGAUUAACCUUGAGGUGGAAUUUGGCCCGGUAAUCUCCGUUCCACGGCCGAAAAUAGCCCAAGCAACCGAGUACGAUAUUGAACUGGAAUGCGUUGUGCAAGGCUUUCCGUCACCUUCGAUUUCCUGGUUCAAAAAUGGACAGCAGAUUCAUAACGGUGGACCUUAUGGCAUUACCCAAACCGGUCAACCGGAUGACGUAACGACUUCCACGGUGAAGAUCACCUCAGUCGAAAGCUCACACUACGGAGACUACCUCUGCAAGGCUUCCAACAAAGUAGGCCACGACGAAGCAAGGCUGAAUCUCUAUGAAUCGGUGAUUCCUGUUCCCUAUUGAAGUUUUUAGUUGAUUUUAGUAUUCUUAGUUCAAUCAAUCUUAGGUUGAGUUUUGUUUCCUUGAACAUUUUGAAAGAACAACGCAUUCCCAACAUCAACUACUCCGGUCUGAAGUGGUCCAGCUCAGGGCACGUUCUCAUGAGCCAUCUAGGUAUCCUAAUGGUAACGGUACUGCUGGCAACGCUGUUGUGAAUAAGAAGGAGAAGCUAAGUGCAACUGCCAAUUUCAAACAAAUCAAGCAGAGACGAAACCUACAAUCCAGCCAAAUGAAACAUUAAGAGAAAACGAAAAGUUCAAAUACAGCGCACUUAGAAGGCCCAUUCCCAGGAACUGUAACCCACUAAGAAAACGAAUCAAAUUAUUUGCAUUUUAUACAGAAGACAUAUCUCUACGAGGAAGGAUACUUACUUACCCAGAAUUGAAUCUAAAAAUGUCCAUAUUCGUUAGGCAUAGUUUAGGUAGAAAGACGAUUACGACUGUUUUUCGGAGGAAACCUGUACAAAUGAAACCGAAUCUAGAAAUUAUGGCAAAACAAAAACCUGACAAAAAUAAAAAAGAAUAAAAAUGACCUGGUAGAUCAUGAUACAAAGAGGAAAAUACUCGUUUUAGUGUUAGGCAAAACAUAUUUCGGAAAACGUGUGCGAAUAAAGACAUAGAAUCGUAA
RNA transcript from Ochlerotatus camptorhynchus, 1986 nucleotides. It is a transcript of the gene named lachesin-like, with no coding region annotated. The transcript has 6 exons. The record is from RefSeq and is a predicted model, not a curated record. Lineage: Eukaryota; Metazoa; Arthropoda; Insecta; Diptera; Culicidae.